Molecule: ribosomal RNA, 253 nt
Filed under: uncultured bacterium
Lineage: Bacteria
Description: partial 16S ribosomal RNA
Rfam family: Bacterial small subunit ribosomal RNA
Source: RNAcentral
UACGUAGGGGGCGAGCGUUGUCCGGAAUCAUUGGGCGUAAAGAGCGUGUAGGCGGCUCGGUAAGUCCGCUCUGAAAGCCCGGGGCUCAACCCCGGGAGGCGGGCGGAUACUGUCGGGCUAGAGUCCGGAAGAGGCGAGUGGAAUUCCUGGUGUAGCGGUGAAAUGCGCAGAUAUCAGGAGGAACACCAAUGGCGAAGGCAGCUCGCUGGGACGGUACUGACGCUGAGACGCGAAAGCGUGGGGAGCAAACAGG